Molecule: unclassified non-coding RNA, 88 nt
Filed under: Pseudomonas sp. NFACC04-2
Lineage: Bacteria; Pseudomonadati; Pseudomonadota; Gammaproteobacteria; Pseudomonadales; Pseudomonadaceae
Source: RNAcentral
UGUGGGAGCGAGCUUGCUCGCGAUGCGGUCAUCCAUAGGCACUUGUAGUGCCUGCAAUGCCGCUAUCGCGAGCAAGCUCGCUCCCAUA